GACGAACGCUGGCGGCGUGCUUAACACAUGCAAGUCGAACGAUGAACCCGGAGCUUGCUCCGGCGGAUUAGUGGCGAACGGGUGAGUAACACGUGAGUAACCUGCCCUUGACUCUGGGAUAACUGCGGGAAACUGUAGCUAAUACCGGAUACGACCCUCGGCGGCAUCGCCAGGGGGUGGAAAGAAUUUCGGUCAAGGAUGGACUCGCGGCCUAUCAGCUAGUUGGUGAGGUAACGGCUCACCAAGGCGACGAAGGGUAGCCGGCCUGAGAGGGUGACCGGCCACGCUGGGACUGAGACACGGCCCAGACUCCUACGGGAGGCAGCAGUGGGGAAUAUUGCACAAUGGGCGCAAGCCUGAUUCAGCAACGCCGCGUGAGGGAUGACGGCCUUCGGGUUGUAAACCUCUUUUAGUAGGGAAGAAGCGAAAGUGACGGUACCUGCAGAAAAGGCACCGGCUAACUACGUGCCAGCAGCCGCCGUAA
This 484-nucleotide ribosomal RNA is filed under the name uncultured bacterium. RNAcentral's name for it is "partial 16S ribosomal RNA". It matches the Rfam family "Bacterial small subunit ribosomal RNA", at positions 28 to 523 of the family's 1533-position model. The record is from RNAcentral.